RNAcentral lists this ribosomal RNA (457 nucleotides) under Synmerosyllis lamelligera. RNAcentral describes it as "partial 16S ribosomal RNA". It matches the Rfam family "Bacterial large subunit ribosomal RNA", at positions 1849 to 2597 of the family's 2925-position model. The record is from RNAcentral. Lineage: Eukaryota; Metazoa; Annelida; Polychaeta; Phyllodocida; Syllidae.
AAAGUAAUUUCUGCCCAGUGAAAUUUUCAACGGCCGCGGUAUCCUGACCGUGCGAAGGUAGCAUAAUCAUUUGCCUUUUAAUUAAAGGCUAGUAUGAAAGAAUAAACGAAGAAUACCCUGUCUCUUAAUAAAAUUUAAAAAUUUACUUUUAGGUGAAGAGGCCUAAAUAAAAUAAAAAGACAAGAAGACCCUAUCAAGCUUAUCUAAAAUUUUAUCCACUAUAAAUAAUUAGAUUAAUUGGGGCGAUUAAAAAUUAAAUAAAUCAUUUAUCUUACUAAGAGAAAUAACUCUCAUAAUUUAACUUUAAAAUAAAUAUAAGAAAGCUACUGUAGGGAUAACAGGCUAAUAUUUCCUGAGAGUCCUAAUCAACGGAAAUGCUUGGCACCUCGAUGUUGGCUUAGGGAUUCUAUAUUAUGCAGCAGUAAUUUAAGUUGGUUUGUUCAACCAUUAAACCCCU